UUGCUUCUCCGCCGGCGACCGGCGCACGGGUGAGUAACACGUAUGCAACCUGCCCCUGUCAGGGGGACAACCCGCCGAAAGGCGGGCUAAACCCGCGUACAUGCCACCGGGGCAUCCCGGAGGCAGGAAAGGCUUCGGCCGGACAGGGAUGGGCAUGCGGCGCAUUAGGCAGUAGGCGGGGUAACGGCCCACCUAACCGACGAUGCGUAGGGGUUCUGAGAGGAAGGUCCCCCACACUGGUACUGAGACACGGACCAGACUCCUACGGGAGGCAGCAG
This 278-nucleotide ribosomal RNA is filed under the name uncultured bacterium. Its description in RNAcentral is "partial 16S ribosomal RNA". It matches the Rfam family "Bacterial small subunit ribosomal RNA", at positions 80 to 354 of the family's 1533-position model. The record is from RNAcentral.